This 253-nucleotide ribosomal RNA is filed under the name uncultured bacterium. RNAcentral's name for it is "partial 16S ribosomal RNA". It matches the Rfam family "Bacterial small subunit ribosomal RNA", at positions 524 to 776 of the family's 1533-position model. The record is from RNAcentral.
UACGGGGGGUGCGAGCGUUGUCCGGAAUCACUGGGCGUAAAGGGCGCGUAGGCGGUUUGGUAAGGCUGUGGUGAAAGCCCGGGGCUCAACCCCGGGUCUGCCGUGGCGACUGUCAGACUGGAGGGCUCGAGAGGCAGACGGAAUUCCGGGUGUAGCGGUGGAAUGCGUAGAGAUCCGGAAGAAGACCGGUGGCGAAGGCGGUCUGCUGGCGAGUACCUGACGCUGAUGCGCGACAGCGUGGGGAGCAAACAGG